UAGAGUUUGAUCCUGGCUCAGAUUGAACGCUAGCGGGAUGCCUUACACAUGCAAGUCGAACGGCAGCACGGACUUCGGUCUGGUGGCGAGUGGCGAACGGGUGAGUAAUGUAUCGGAACGUGCCCAGUAGCGGGGGAUAACUACGCGAAAGCGUAGCUAAUACCGCAUACGCCCUACGGGGGAAAGCAGGGGAUCGCAAGACCUUGCACUAUUGGAGCGGCCGAUAUCGGAUUAGCUAGUUGGUGGGGUAACGGCUCACCAAGGCGACGAUCCGUAGCUGGUUUGAGAGGACGACCAGCCACACUGGGACUGAGACACGGCCCAGACUCCUACGGGAGGCAGCAGUGGGGAAUUUUGGACAAUGGGGGAAACCCUGAUCCAGCCAUCCCGCGUGUGCGAUGAAGGCCUUCGGGUUGUAAAGCACUUUUGGCAGGAAAGAAACGUCGUGGGUUAAUACCCCGCGAAACUGACGGUACCUGCAGAAUAAGCACCGGCUAACUACGUGCCAGCAGCCGCGGUAAUACGUAGGGUGCAAGCGCUAAUCGGAAUUACUGGGCGUAAGGCGUGCGCAGGCGGUUCGGAAAGAAAGAUGUGAAAUCCCAGAGCUUAACUUUGGAACUGCAUUUUUAACUACCGGGCUAGAGUGUGUCAGAGGGNNNNGNAACUCCGCGUGUA
Molecule: ribosomal RNA, 675 nt
Filed under: uncultured Achromobacter sp.
Lineage: Bacteria; Pseudomonadati; Pseudomonadota; Betaproteobacteria; Burkholderiales; Alcaligenaceae
Description: bacterial SSU rRNA
Rfam family: Bacterial small subunit ribosomal RNA
Source: RNAcentral